CCUACGGGAGGCAGCAGUGAGGAAUAUUGGUCAAUAGCCGCAGGGCUGAACCAGCCAAGUCGCGUGAGGGAUGACGGUCCUAUGGAUUGUAAACCUCUUUUGUCAGGGAGCAAAGGGCGCCACGUGUGGCGCUUUGCGAGUACCUGAAGAAAAAGCAUCGGCUAACUCCGUGCCAGCAGCCGCGGUAAUACGGAGGAUGCGAGCGUUAUCCGGAUUUAUUGGGUUUAAAGGGUGCGCAGGCGGAAUGUCAAGUCAGCGGUAAAAUUUCGGGGCUCAACCCCGUCGUGCCGUUGAAACUGGCGUUCUUGAGUGAGCGAGAAGUAUGCGGAAUGCGUGGUGUAGCGGUGAAAUGCAUAGAUAUCACGCAGAACUCCGAUUGCGAAGGCAGCAUACCGGCGCUCAACUGACGCUCAUGCACGAAAGCGUGGGUAUCGAACAGGAUUAGAUACCCCAGUAGUC
This 459-nucleotide ribosomal RNA is filed under the name uncultured bacterium. Its description in RNAcentral is "partial 16S ribosomal RNA". It matches the Rfam family "Bacterial small subunit ribosomal RNA", at positions 338 to 795 of the family's 1533-position model. The record is from RNAcentral.